AAAACGGCCCUUUUCAGGGCCACCACAACAAUCAAGAAAGAGUUUG
Molecule: regulatory RNA element, 46 nt
Organism: Culex pipiens (northern house mosquito)
Lineage: Eukaryota; Metazoa; Arthropoda; Insecta; Diptera; Culicidae
Rfam family: Histone 3' UTR stem-loop
About the family: The mRNAs of metazoan histone genes lack a poly-A tail. 3' end processing occurs at a site between a highly conserved stem-loop (modelled by this family) and a purine rich region around 20 nts downstream (the histone downstream element, or HDE).
Source: Rfam